GGGUCAGUAGGUUGGUCGUGCCACCGGUACGUACUGGUCUCACUGAUUCCUCCUUCCUGAAGAACCGUAAUGCCAUUAAUUUGGUGUUGCGGGGAAACAGGACUGUUACUUUGAAAAAAUUAGAGUGUUUAAAGCAAGCUAACGCUUGAAUACAUUAGCAUGGAAUAAUGAAAUAGGACGAUCGAUCCUAUUUUGUUGGUUUCUAGGAUUGACGUAAUGAUUAAUAGGGAGUUGGG
Molecule: ribosomal RNA, 236 nt
Filed under: Glomeromycotina sp.
Lineage: Eukaryota; Fungi; Glomeromycota
Description: partial small subunit ribosomal RNA
Rfam family: Eukaryotic small subunit ribosomal RNA (bases 40-236)
Source: RNAcentral